RNAcentral lists this ribosomal RNA (450 nucleotides) under uncultured bacterium. RNAcentral's name for it is "bacterial SSU rRNA". It matches the Rfam family "Bacterial small subunit ribosomal RNA", at positions 29 to 526 of the family's 1533-position model. The record is from RNAcentral.
AACGAACGCUGGCGGCAGGCUUAACACAUGCAAGUCGAACGCCCCGCAAGGGGAGUGGCAGACGGGUGAGUAACGCGUGGGAACGUACCCUUCGGUUCGGAACAACCCUGGGAAACUAGGGCUAAUACCGGAUACGUGCGAAAGCAGAAAGGUUUACUGCCGAAGGAUCGGCCCGCGUCUGAUUAGCUAGUUGGUGAGGUAACGGCUCACCAAGGCGACGAUCAGUAGCUGGUCUGAGAGGAUGAUCAGCCACAUUGGGACUGAGACACGGCCCAAACUCCUACGGGAGGCAGCAGUGGGGAAUAUUGGACAAUGGGCGCAAGCCUGAUCCAGCCAUGCCGCGUGAGUGAUGACGGCCCUAGGGUUGUAAAGCUCUUUUACCUGGGAAGAUAAUGACGGUACCAGGAGAAUAAGCCCCGGCUAACUUCGUGCCAGCCGCCGCCGUAAAAC